CAAUAGCGUAUAUUAAAGUUGUUGCAGUUAAAAAGCUCGUAGUUGGAUCUGUGGCGUGCGGUGUGUUCCGGGCACUUGUUGUCUGAGUAACCUGCCGCUGCCAUCCUUGGGUGGAACCUGUGUGGCAUUAGGUUGUCGUGCAGGGGAUGCCCAUCAUUUACUGUGAAAAAAUUAGAGUGUUCAAAGCAGGCUUAUGCCGUUGAAUAUAUUAGCAUGGAAUAAUGAGAUAGGACUUUUUUGCUAUUUUGUUGGUUUGCGCAAAGAGGUAAUGAUUAAUAGGGACAGUUGGGGGUAUUCGUAUUCCAUUGUCAGAGGUGAAAUUCUUGGAUUUUUGGAAGACGAACUACUGCGAAAGCAUUUACCAAGGAUGUUUUCAUUAA
This 380-nucleotide ribosomal RNA is filed under the name uncultured eukaryote. RNAcentral's name for it is "partial 18S ribosomal RNA". It matches the Rfam family "Eukaryotic small subunit ribosomal RNA", at positions 592 to 976 of the family's 1831-position model. The record is from RNAcentral.